AGAGUUUGAUCCUGGCUCAGAUUGAACGCUGGCGGCAUGCCUUACACAUGCAAGUCGAACGGCAGCACGGGUACUUGCACCUGGUGGCGAGUGGCGAACGGGUGAGUAAUAUAUCGGAACGUACCCUAGAGUGGGGGAUAACGUAGCGAAAGUUACGCUAAUACCGCAUACGAUCUACGGAUGAAAGUGGGGGAUCGCAAGACCUCAUGCUCAUGGAGCGGCCGAUAUCUGAUUAGCUAGUUGGUGGGGUAAAAGCCUACCAAGGCGACGAUCAGUAGCUGGUCUGAGAGGACGACCAGCCACACUGGAACUGAGACACGGUCCAGACUCCUACGGGAGGCAGCAGUGGGGAAUUUUGGACAAUGGGGGCAACCCUGAUCCAGCAAUGCCGCGUGAGUGAAGAAGGCCUUCGGGUUGUAAAGCUCUUUUGUCAGGGAAGAAACGGGAUUUUCUAAUACAAAGUCCUAAUGACGGUACCUGAAGAAUAAGCACCGGCUAACUACGUGCCAGCAGCCGCGGUAAUACGUAGGGUGCAAGCGUUAAUCGGAAUUACUGGGCGUAAAGCGUGCGCAGGCGGUUGUGCAAGACAGAUGUGAAAUCCCCGGGCUCAACCUGGGAAUUGCAUUUGUGACUGCACGGCUAGAGUGUGUCAGAGGGGGGUAGAAUUCCACGUGUAGCAGUGAAAUGCGUAGAGAUGUGGAGGAAUACCGAUGGCGAAGGCAGCCCCCUGGGAUAACACUGACGCUCAUGCACGAAAGCGUGGGGAGCAAACAGGAUUAGAUACCCUGGUAGUCCACGCCCUAAACGAUGUCUACUAGUUGUCGGGUCUUAAUUGACUUGGUAACGCAGCUAACGCGUGAAGUAGACCGCCUGGGGAGUACGGUCGCAAGAUUAAAACUCAAAGGAAUUGACGGGGACCCGCACAAGCGGUGGAUGAUGUGGAUUAAUUCGAUGCAACGCGAAAAACCUUACCUACCCUUGACAUGUACGGAACUUACCAGAGAUGGUUUGGUGCUCGAAAGAGAACCGUAACACAGGUGCUGCAUGGCUGUCGUCAGCUCGUGUCGUGAGAUGUUGGGUUAAGUCCCGCAACGAGCGCAACCCUUGUCAUUAGUUGCUACGAAAGGGCACUCUAAUGAGACUGCCGGUGACAAACCGGAGGAAGGUGGGGAUGACGUCAAGUCCUCAUGGCCCUUAUGGGUAGGGCUUCACACGUCAUACAAUGGUACAUACAGAGGGCCGCCAACCCGCGAGGGGGAGCUAAUCCCAGAAAGUGUAUCGUAGUCCGGAUUGUAGUCUGCAACUCGACUACAUGAAGUUGGAAUCGCUAGUAAUCGCGGAUCAGCAUGUCGCGGUGAAUACGUUCCCGGGUCUUGUACACACCGCCCGUCACACCAUGGGAGCGGGUUUCACCAGAAGUAGGUAGCCUAACCGCAAGGAGGGCGCUUACCACGGUGGGAUUCGUGACUGGGGUGAAGUCGUAACAAGGUA
This 1491-nucleotide ribosomal RNA is filed under the name metagenome. RNAcentral describes it as "bacterial SSU rRNA". It matches the Rfam family "Bacterial small subunit ribosomal RNA". The record is from RNAcentral.